CACGUAGGGCGCGAGCGUUGUCCGGAAUUAUUGGGCGUAAAGAGCGUGUAGGCGGCCAGGUAGGUCUGCUGUGAAAACUCGAGGCUCAACCUCGAGACGUCGGCGGAAACCAUCUGGCUAGAGUCCGGAAGAGGAGAGUGGAAUUCCUGGUGUAGCGGUGAAAUGCGCAGAUAUCAGGAAGAACACCCGUGGCGAAGGCGGCUCUCUGGGACGGUACUGACGCUGAGACGCGAAAGCGUGGGGAGCGAACAGG
RNAcentral lists this ribosomal RNA (253 nucleotides) under uncultured bacterium. RNAcentral describes it as "partial 16S ribosomal RNA". It matches the Rfam family "Bacterial small subunit ribosomal RNA", at positions 524 to 776 of the family's 1533-position model. The record is from RNAcentral.